GACUUGGUAACGCAGCUAACGCGUGAAGUAGACCGCCUGGGGAGUACGGUCGCAAGAUUAAAACUCAAAGGAAUUGACGGGGACCCGCACAAGCGGUGGAUGAUGUGGAUUAAUUCGAUGCAACGCGAAAAACCUUACCUACCCUUGACAUGGAUGGAAUCCCGAAGAGAUUUGGGAGUGCUCGAAAGAGAACCAUCACACAGGUGCUGCAUGGCUGUCGUCAGCUCGUGUCGUGAGAUGUUGGGUUAAGUCCCGCAACGAGCGCAACCCUUGUCAUUAGUUGCUACGAAAGGGCACUCUAAUGAGACUGCCGGUGACAAACCGGAGGAAGGUGGGGAUGACGUCAAGUCCUCAUGGCCCUUAUGGGUAGGGCUUCACACGUCAUACAAUGGUACAUACAGAGGGGGGGAACAACCCGCGAGGGGGAGCUAAUCCCAGAAAGUGUAUCGUAGUUCCUUGGAGUCGAGAACUCGACUUCCAUGAUUCCCUCGCAUGAGAGU
Molecule: ribosomal RNA, 500 nt
Filed under: Herbaspirillum sp.
Lineage: Bacteria; Pseudomonadati; Pseudomonadota; Betaproteobacteria; Burkholderiales; Oxalobacteraceae
Description: bacterial SSU rRNA
Rfam family: Bacterial small subunit ribosomal RNA
Source: RNAcentral